GAUGUGAUGGGGAGCGAAAUUUAGUAGCGAAGUAGCUGAUUUCACACUGUCAAGAAAAGUCUCUAUCGAGGUUAAAGGUACCCGUACCGCAAACCGACACAGGUGGGUGAGGAGAGUAUCCUAAGGCUAGCGAGAGAACUGUUGUUAAGGAACUCGGCAAAAUGACCCCGUAACUUAGGGAUAAGGGGUGCCACCAUCAGGUGGCCGCAGAGAAUAGGCCCAAGCGACUGUUUACCAAAAACAUAGGUUUCUGCUAAGUCGCAAGACGAUGUAUAGGAGCUGACGCCUGCCCGGUGCUGGAAGGUUAAGGG
This 311-nucleotide ribosomal RNA is filed under the name Clostridioides difficile. RNAcentral's name for it is "partial 23S ribosomal RNA". It matches the Rfam family "Bacterial large subunit ribosomal RNA", at positions 1560 to 1883 of the family's 2925-position model. Lineage: Bacteria; Bacillati; Bacillota; Clostridia; Peptostreptococcales; Peptostreptococcaceae. The record is from RNAcentral.